GCCUCGCCAGGCGACGCAGUACGAAGGAGAGGUAAGGAAGUCGUGAGUGUGCGUGACACCAAGCCACGCUCUCACCUACGUAGUACAUCGUUGCGUUGAUCGAAAACUUGGCUCCUUGGCUUCAUAUUCUCCUUACUAGCGCUCACCGGUUCCAGAAUCAAUUUUGCCGAUUAUCCAAUUAAUAAAACGCUUCGAGACCCGUCUUUCAAACCACAAUGCAUACGAGAGCAGUCGGAGUGCGCGGCUCGCCGACACCACCGACUCCACUGCCGCCGCCACUACCAACACCAGCACCAGUCCCAGCACCACCACCAGCAACAGCACUGGCAGAAGCACCACCACCGCCGCCAGCAGUACUUGGAGCACUGCUACCCCCUGCUGGUGAUUUGCUACCCGGACUUGCCGUAGUCCUGUGAAAUGUCAAAUAACAAGAAGACCAAAUGGUUAAUCGAUACUCUCUCUCUCUCUCUCACACACACACACACGCACACACACACACACGCACACACACACCCUUUCUCUGUUUUAUCUCAUUCCAUGUAUCUCUGAAAAUAUGUCUUGCCAUUAAUAUAAAUAACUAAUGUAAGUCAAUACGUAUUUGUAGUUACUAACCAGUGAUUGCCAACAACUAGAGAUGUACUGCGUUAAUCAAUAUCAUAUCGGUUAGGCAUGGUAUUCUCAAAUGGAAAUCACAUUUAUGGAGUCAACGUCAACGUCCAAACAUUUAUGUUCUGAUAUGAUUGAGACCAUAAAAAUCGUUGAAUCGCUUUAGUAGUCCGAUAUCCAUACCCAAUACGCAACAAAUUCAUUCUACCAAACUGAAUACUGAUAACACAAUUAGCGUGAGCUCGUGAGAGCGUGGCCCGUGUCGUGUGGCCAAACGGGGAGGGGGAAGUGCCGAAACUGCGCGCCGGCCGACGCACUAGGCAGUCUUCAUCUGAACAGCGCGGCGGACGGUGCCUACUACCUAGCCUACAGGGAUCUCUCGAACACCAUCAAAGGCCUCUUGAUGCCAACUAUAACCCAUUUCUAUGG
Venturia canescens is the source of this 1035-nucleotide long non-coding RNA. RefSeq lists it as uncharacterized. Lineage: Eukaryota; Metazoa; Arthropoda; Insecta; Hymenoptera; Ichneumonidae. The record is from RefSeq and is a predicted model, not a curated record. The transcript has 3 exons.